This 601-nucleotide ribosomal RNA is filed under the name uncultured bacterium. RNAcentral describes it as "bacterial SSU rRNA". It matches the Rfam family "Bacterial small subunit ribosomal RNA", at positions 119 to 759 of the family's 1533-position model. The record is from RNAcentral.
GGGAACUACCUAGUAGUACGGAAUAACACAGAGAAAUUUGUGCUAAUACCGUAUACGCCCUUUUGGGGAAAGAUUUAUCGCUAUUAGAUGGGCCCGCGUUGGAUUAGCUAGUUGGUGGGGUAAUGCCUACCAAGGCGACGAUCUAUAGCUGGUCUGAGAGGAUGAUCAGCCACACUGGAACUGGGACACGGUCCAGACUCCUACGGGAGGCAGCAGUGGGGAAUAUUGGACAAUGGGGGCAACCCUGAUCCAGCCAUGCCGCGUGAGUGAUGAAGGCCCUAGGGUUGUAAAGCUCUUUCAACGGUGAAGAUAAUGACGGUAACCGUAGAAGAAGCCCCGGCUAACUUCGUGCCAGCAGCCGCGGUAAUACGAAGGGGGCUAGCGUUGUUCGGAAUUACUGGGCGUAAAGCGUACGUAGGCGGACUGAUCAGUCAGGGGUGAAAUCCCGGGGCUCAACCCCGAACUGCCUUUGAUACUGUCAGUCUUGAGUUCGAGAGAGGUGAGUGGAAUUCCGAGUGUAGAGGUGAAAUUCGUAGAUAUUCGGAGGAACACCAGUGGCGAAGGGGCUCACUGGCUCGAUACUGACGCUGAGGUACGAAAG